UCCCUGGUGGUUCAGACGGUAAAGCAUCUGUCUACAACACGGGAGACCCAGGUUCGAUCCCUGGGUUGGGAA
Transfer RNA from Ovis aries (sheep), 72 nucleotides. It matches the Rfam family "tRNA". From Rfam's summary of the family: Transfer RNA (tRNA) molecules are approximately 80 nucleotides in length. Lineage: Eukaryota; Metazoa; Chordata; Mammalia; Artiodactyla; Bovidae. The record is from Rfam.